GAUGAAGAACGUAGUGAAAUGCGAUAAGUAAUGUAAAUUGCAGAAUUCAGUGAAUCAUCGAAUCUUUGAACGCACAUUGCGCCCCCUGGUAUUCCGGGGGGCAUGCCUGUCCGAGCGUCAUUACAACCCUCAAGCUCAACUUGGUGUUGGGCCCCGCCGCCCCGGCGGGCCCUAAAGUCAGUGGCGGUGCCGUCCGGCUCCGAGCGUAGUAAUUCUUCUCGCUCUGGAGGUCCGGUCGUGUGCUCGCCAGCAACCCCCAAUUUUUUUCAGGUUGACCUCGGAUCAGGUAGGGAUACCCGCUGAACUUAAGCAUAUCAAUAAGCGGAGGA
Molecule: unclassified non-coding RNA, 329 nt
Filed under: soil metagenome
Description: partial contains 5.8S ribosomal RNA, internal transcribed spacer 2, and large subunit ribosomal RNA
Rfam family: 5.8S ribosomal RNA (bases 1-120)
Source: RNAcentral